This 253-nucleotide ribosomal RNA is filed under the name uncultured bacterium. RNAcentral describes it as "partial 16S ribosomal RNA". It matches the Rfam family "Bacterial small subunit ribosomal RNA", at positions 524 to 776 of the family's 1533-position model. The record is from RNAcentral.
UACGUAGGGCGCAAGCGUUAUCCGGAAUUAUUGGGCGUAAAGAGCUCGUAGGCGGUUCGUCGCGUCUGCCGUGAAAGUCCGGGGCUCAACUCCGGAUCUGCGGUGGGUACGGGCAGACUAGAGUGAUGUAGGGGAGACUGGAAUUCCUGGUGUAGCGGUGAAAUGCGCAGAUAUCAGGAGGAACACCGAUGGCGAAGGCAGGUCUCUGGGCAUUAACUGACGCUGAGGAGCGAAAGCCAGGGGAGCAAACGGG